Molecule: ribosomal RNA, 456 nt
Filed under: uncultured bacterium
Lineage: Bacteria
Description: partial 16S ribosomal RNA
Rfam family: Bacterial small subunit ribosomal RNA
Source: RNAcentral
UGGGGAAUAUUGCACAAUGGGCGCAAGCCUGAUGCAGCCAUGCCGCGUGUGUGAAGAAGGCCUUCGGGUUGUAAAGCACUUUCAGCGAGGAGGAAGGUGGUGAGCUUAAUACGCUCAUCAAUUGACGUUACUCGCAGAAGAAGCACCGGCUAACUCCGUGCCAGCAGCCGCGGUAAUACGGAGGGUGCAAGCGUUAAUCGGAAUUACUGGGCGUAAAGCGCACGCAGGCGGUUUGUUAAGUCAGAUGUGAAAUCCCCGGGCUCAACCUGGGAACUGCAUUUGAAACUGGCAAGCUAGAGUCUCGUAGAGGGGGGUAGAAUUCCAGGUGUAGCGGUGAAAUGCGUAGAGAUCUGGAGGAAUACCGGUGGCGAAGGCGGCCCCCCUGGACGAAGACUGACGCUCAGGUGCGAAAGCGUGGGGAGCAAACAGAUUAGAUACCCUGGUAGUCCACGCUGU